This 336-nucleotide unclassified non-coding RNA is filed under the name soil metagenome. RNAcentral describes it as "partial contains 5.8S ribosomal RNA, internal transcribed spacer 2, and large subunit ribosomal RNA". The stretch from base 1 to 119 matches the Rfam family "5.8S ribosomal RNA", at positions 35 to 154 of the family's 154-position model. The record is from RNAcentral.
GAUGAAGAACGCAGCGAAAUGCGAUACGUAAUGUGAAUUGCAAAUUCAGUGAAUCAUCGAGUCUUUGAACGCACAUUGCGCCCCCUGGUAUUCCGAGGGGCAUGCCUGUUCGAGCGUCAUUACACCACUCAAGCUAUGCUUGGUAUUGGGCGUCGUCCUUAGUUGGGCGCGCCUUAAAGACCUCGGCGAGGCCACUCCGGCUUUAGGCGUAGUAGAAUUUAUUCGAACGUCUGUCAAAGGAGAGGAACUCUGCCGACUGAAACCUUUAUUUUUCUAGGUUGACCUCGGAUCAGGUAGGGAUACCCGCUGAACUUAAGCAUAUCAAUAAGCGGAGGA